This 459-nucleotide ribosomal RNA is filed under the name uncultured bacterium. RNAcentral describes it as "SSU rRNA". It matches the Rfam family "Bacterial small subunit ribosomal RNA", at positions 26 to 518 of the family's 1533-position model. The record is from RNAcentral.
AGAAUCAACGCUGGCGGCGUGCCCAACACAUGCAAGUCGCACGAGAAAGGGACUUCGGUCCUGAGUACAGUGGCGCACGGGUGAGUAACACGUGAAUAAUCUACCUCCGAGUGGGGAAUAACUGAGAGAAAUCUUAGCUAAUACCGCAUAACACUUACGAGUCAAAGCAGCAAUGCGCUUGGAGAGGAGUUCGCGGCAGAUUAGUUAGUUGGCGGGGUAAUGGCCCACCAAGACGAUGAUCUGUAUCCGGCCUGAGAGGGCGCACGGACACACUGGAACUGAAACACGGUCCAGACUCCUACGGGAGGCAGCAGUGGGGAAUUUUGCGCAAUGGGGGAAACCCUGACGCAGCAACGCCGCGUGGAGGAUGAAAUCCCUUGGGAUGUAAACUCCUUUCGAUCGGGAAGAUAAUGACGGUACCGAGAGAAGAAGCCCGGCUAACUUCGUGCCAGCAGCCGC